GAUCAAGUUACUAAGAGCGCAUGGAGGAUGUCUUGGCAUCAGAAGGCGAUGAAGGGCGUGGAAGUCUGCGAUAAGCCUGGGUGAGCUGGCAAACAAGUUAUGACCCCGGGAUUCCUGAAUUAUCCAUAACUGAAUACAUAGGUUAUGUGAGGCUAACGCAGGGAACUGAAACAUCUAAGUACCUGCUGGAAAAGAAAGAAAAAUCGAUUUCCUUAGUAGCGGCGAGCGAACGGGAAUUAGCCCAAACCGGAGGAGUUUCUCUUCUGGGGUAGUAGGGCAGGGAAUACUAAACGUAGUACGAUAGCAGAACGGUAUGGAAAGGCCGGCCACAGAGGGUGACAGUCCCGUAAGUGAAAUCUGAAACGUUUAAUCUCUGUACCUGAGUAGGUCCAGUCACGUGGAACCUGGAUUGAAUCUGCGGGGCCCAUCCCGCAAGGCUAAAUACUCUCUGAUGACCGAUAGUGCAUAGUAGGGCGAUUGAAAGAUGAAAAGAACCGCUGCUAGCGGAGUUAAAUGAACCUGAAACCAUGUGCUUACAAGCGGUAGGAGCGCGAUUUAACGCGUGACUGCGUGCCUUUUGCAUAAUGAUCCGGCGAGUUAUGGUGAACGGCCUGGUUAAGUUUUUACGGAACGGAGCCUCAGGGAAACCGAGUCUUAAUAGGGCGUAUAGUCGUUUGCUGUAGACGCGAACCCCAGUGAUCUACGCAUGAGCAGGUUGAAGCGAGGGUUAUACCUCGUGGAGGACCGAACCCACUUGGGUUGAAAACCGAGGGGAUGACUUGUGCGGAGGAGUGAAAGUCUAAUCAAACUGGGAGAUAUCUCGUUCUCUCCGAAAUAGUUCUAGGGCUAGCCUCGCGCCACUCUGUUGUGGGGGUAGAGAUACUGAAUUGGAUAAGGGCGCUUCCCCGCGUACCUUACUGAACCAAACUCCGAAUACCACAAUAUUUAUCGCGGGAGUCAGUCCCUGGGGGAUAAGCUCCAGGGUCAAGAGGGAAACAACCCAGAUCGUCAGCUAAGGUCCCAGAAUUAUGCUUAGUCACUAAGGAAGUUGAAUUGCGGAGACAACCAGGAUGUUGGCUUAGAAGCAGCCACCAUUUAAAAAGUGCGUAAUAGCUUACUGGUCGAGCAAUUCUGCGCCGAUAAUGAACGGGAGUAAGUAUAAUACCGAAGCUGCGGAAACUAGUAAUAGUUUGGUAGGAGAGCGCUGUUAAGCAGAUACAGGCCAUACCGUAAGGAGUGGUGGCGGGCUUAACAGGUGAUUAUGCCGGAAUGAGUAACGAUAAUGCAGGUGAGAAUCCUGCACGCCGAAAGCCUAAGGUUUCCUGGGGAAGGUAAAUCCGCCCAGGGUUAGCCGGUUCCUUAGUCGAGGCCGAAAGGCGUAGACGAUGGGUAGCAGGUCAAUAUUCCUGCGCUGGCAAUGCUGUUAUUGAUGGAAGGACGAUGGCUUAAAUGGGAGGGGUCGGUUAGAAGUGACCCUCGCCUUGCAGAAAGAUGGGAGACAGGAAAAUCCGCUCCAUAAAUUGAUUUGCAGGGACAAGGACGUUGAUUCAAUAGUCCCAAGCGAGACAUUCAAGAAAAGUUUCUAAGAUACGUAUUGUCAACCGUACUAAAACUGACACAGGUAGGCGAGAUGAGAAGUCUCAGGCGCUCGGGAGACCACUGGUUAAGGAACUCUGCAAAAUGGCCCCGUACGUUCGCAAUAAGGGGCGCCUGGCAACAGGCCACAGUAAAUCGGCUUCAGCAACUGUUUAUCAAAAACACAGGACGGCGCUAACACGUAAGUGGAUGUAUGCCGUCUGACGCCUGCCCGGUGCUGGUAGGUUAAGGAAGUGGGUAAUCGCAAGAGAAGCUCCCGACCGAAGCCCCAGUAAACGGCGGCUCUAACCUUGAGAGUCCUAAGGUAGCGAAGUUCCUUGUCGGGCAAGUUCCGACCUGCAUGAAAGGCGUAAUGACUGAAGCGCUGUCUCAACCAGUGACCCGGUGAAAUUGUAGUCGUGGUGAAGAUGCCACGUACCCGCACCAAGACGGAAAGACCCCGUGAACCUUUACUGUAGGCUGAUUUUGUGCUCGAGCGCAUAAUGCGUAGGAUAGGUGGGAGGCGUCGAUCUUGCAGCUCCGGCUGCAGGGGAGCCAACGUUGAAAUACCACCCUUUAUACACUUAAGUUCUAACGCCGAGACCUGUGAAUCCAGGCGGCGGACAGAUUCAGUUGGGCAGUUUGACUGGGGCGGUCUCCUCCUAAAGAGUAACGGAGGAGUGCAAAGGUAUCCUCAUUCCGGUUGGCAAUCGGAAGUCGAGCGUAAAGGUAGAAGGAUGCUUAACUGCGAGACAGAUAAGUCGAGCAGGUGCGAAAGCAGGUCUUAGUGAUCCGGUAAUCCCGUAUGGAAGGGUUAUCGCUCAUCAGAUAAAAGGUACUCCGGGGAUAACAGGCUUAUCGCUGCCGAGCGUUCACAGCGGCGCAGCGGUUUGGCACCUCGAUGUCGGCUCAUCACAUCCUGGGGGUGGAGAAGCUCCCAAGGGUUUGGCUGUUCGCCAAUUAAAGUGGUACGUGAGCAGGGUUCAGACCGUCGUGAGACAGGUCGGUCCCUAUCUGGUGUGGGCGCACGAAACUUGACGAGAAUCAAAUUUAGUACGAAAGGAUUUAAUUGGACGUUCCUCUGGUGUUCCAGUUGUUACGCUAGUAGCACGGCUGGGUAGCUAAGAACGGAUUGGAUAAACGCUGAAAGCAUAUAAGCGUGAAGCCAGCUCGGAGAUAAGGUUUCGUUUAAGUCCCCUUAAAGACGAUGAGGUUGAUAGGCUGGAUGUGUAAGCUCAGUAAUGGGUUCAGCUAACCAGUACUAACGGACGAAAACUUGAUCGC
Molecule: ribosomal RNA, 2859 nt
Filed under: Bacteroidaceae bacterium
Lineage: Bacteria; Pseudomonadati; Bacteroidota; Bacteroidia; Bacteroidales; Bacteroidaceae
Description: 23S ribosomal RNA
Rfam family: Bacterial large subunit ribosomal RNA
Source: RNAcentral